This 3383-nucleotide long non-coding RNA is filed under the name Homo sapiens (human). Its description in RNAcentral is "non-protein coding SAMMSON:9". Lineage: Eukaryota; Metazoa; Chordata; Mammalia; Primates; Hominidae. The record is from RNAcentral.
GGGCAGACACACUGAAGUCGCUAGACAUUUGAGGAACACAUCCGGGGAAGAAGACACAGGUGGCUGGUCAUGGAGAGCCCGCUGGGGGAAGAGCACACAGACAGGCACCGGCAGGCCAUUGACCAGCGGGACAAGGUGGGCUCAAUGUCAUCACAAGGGUGCUUAAGAGGGAAAGAGGAAGCCAUGAGGGUCAGAGUCAAAGGAAGACUUGAAGAUACUACACUGCGGACUUUAAAGAUGAAGGAAGGGGCGAAAACCAAGAAUGUGGGAAGCCUCUAGAAGCUAGAGAAGGCAAGGAAACAAAUUUUCCACUAGAGCCUCCAGAAGGAACACAGCCCUGCUGACCCACUGUAAUGUCUGACCUCUAGAUGUGUAAGGGUAGUAAGACUGAAAGUCUCAGAAAGGCACUGUUAAAUUCUUAUUCCUCAACUAUGCAACUCAAAACUGGGGUCCUCAGCAGUGAGCGAGGGGUGAGAGAAGACACUGUAUAAACAUGGCACAUCCUCCUGGAAAGUCAACUUUACUCAAAGGUAAAUAAUUUAACAUAUUUUUCUUUUUAAAACACACAUGGAUGUAUUAUGAAGGAGAAUGCAAAUUUUGCAUGAAUUUUUAAGAAUAGGUGUGGAUUAUUCAACCACUUUCUUAUUGCAGCUUUAGAAACCCAGCUCAAACUAGCUGAAGCAGAAAAGACAUUACUGCGCCUAUAAGUUGAAACUUUGGAGGGAUAAAUUUCAGAGGUGUGGCUAGAUCCAACGGCUCUCUGGAAAACUCUGUGAAAAAAAUGCUUCCUCAAGUCCAGAAACCAGAAGCUCAGGAAAUUGUUGCUUGGUUCCUCUUGUUAGAGGCAGAGAUUAUUCAACGACCUACAGGGUAGCGUUUGAACAUUGUUACCAGGAAUCUUUACUUUGCCAUCUUCCAAGUCUGUUCUCCUCAGUAUUGGUUUCAUUUACAAGCAGGCCAUCUCUGCCCUCAUGGCAAUGAUGGUCUUUACUCCAGGCUUAAGACCCUUACUAUCUACUAUUUCCAAAGCGGAGAGAGAACUUCCCACACCUAGUGACCUGUGACACAGGAUUUUAUCCUUCGUACAGAGGGAAUUCAGUUGGCUAACAUAAUCUGCCUUCCAAUGGAGUAAGAAUGUCUGGACUCUUUCCUUCACCUACCCCCAAGACAUGGAGGCGUCUAAAAGAUAAAUAAAACUUGGCAACUGACCGAAGGAGGAAGAGGGGAUUUCAGGCAAAAUCAACGCUGUUCACUACGAGGAGACUUCAGAAAGGUUGCCUGCUUCUGGGGAGCAUAGUCCCUGAUUCCUCAAGACAUACGUUUAUUCUUUUCUUCAAUGUCUUUGCCUGCAGUCAAAACAAAACCAUUACCUUUAGCCAAGUUCACACAUUUCAGCCAAAUCCAUAUGCAUCGGAUCAGUUCUGUAGGUUAUGGGUGAGCAUGAACAUAUAAAAGAGGCACCUGCCUGUGCCUAUCUACUCCAUGGAAUUUCAAAAGGGGCCACUUAUGGAGAAUGUCUUUAGGGACAGAACCAACCACCCUGUCUUUCCUCCAACUCUCAAAGUAACUUCUGGCUUUAAUCCUCAAGUGUCUAUGCUGGAGUUUAAGAAAAAUGUUUUUCAUAGAAUUCAUGUGUAUGAUAUUGCAUGAGUUGUCCAUCUUUGUAUAUAUCUCAAGACUUGUGGUGUUAGUUAAAGAUUCAGAGCUCUGUGUCCUGAACACAGAGUAAUACCAGCAUUACUAAGGAUGAUCGUGGGAUUUUAAAAUUCCUCCCUUAGAUAGAUCUUACGAACUUAUGUUACCAAUCAACAUAAGUUAAGACAAAAAGAGCAAAUUUAGAUGUAAAACCAUCUUGGGGCCAGGUGCUGUGGCUCACGCCUGUAAUCCCAGCACUUUGGGAGGCCGAGGCGGGCGGAUCACUAGGUCAGGAGAUCGAGACCAUCUUGGCCAACACGGUGAAACCCUGUCUCUACUAAAAAUACAAAAAAAUUAGCCGGGCAUGGUGGCAGGCGCCUGUAGUCCCAGCUACUAGGGAGGCUGAGGCAGGAGAAUGGUGUGAACCCUGGAAGCGGAGCUUGCAGUGAGCCAAGAUCAUGCCACUGCACUGCAGCUUGGGCGACAGAGCGAGACUCCGUCUCAAAAAAAACCAAACCAACAAACAAACAAACAAAAAAAAACCAUCUUGGGACUUCCCUCAGCAUUUUGGGGAAAUGCUCUCUGAUUUUAAAAAAAGUACUGGAUGGCCAGAAGUGCUGUUCUUUUUUUUUUUUAAAUGUUAACAAGUCGUUUAUUUACCCAGUGUACAGGGAAAAUCAACCUAUACAUCUUGUCUUUGGUAAUUGAGACAUUACUUAGUAUCUGCAAUGUUUAGAAAUUUGCAUUGUUGACAUUUCCUGUCAUCAGGUCUUACUUGAGGUGUCUUUCUUUCUUUGUUUAUUAUACUUUAAGUUCUAGGGUACAUGUGCACAAUGUGCAGGUUUGUUACAUAUGUAUACAUGUGCAAUGUUGGUGUGCUGCACCCAUUAACUCGUCAUUUACUUUAGGUAUAUCUCCUAAUGCUAUCCCUCCCCGCUUCCCCACCCCACGACAGGCCCCGGUGUGUGAUGUUCCCCUUCCUGUGUCCAAGUGUUCUCAUUGUUCAAUUCCCACCUAUGAGUGAGAACAUGUGGUGUUUGCUUUUUUGUUCUUGUGAUAGUUUGCUGAGAAUGAUGGUUUCCAGCUUCAUCCGUGUCCCUACAAAGGACAUGAACUCAUCGUUUUUUAUGGCUGCGUAGUAUUCCAUGGUGUAUAUGUGCCACAUUUUCUUAAUCCAGUCUGUCAUUGAUGGACAUUUGGGUUGGUUGCAAGUCUUUGCUGUUGUGAAUAGUGCCGCAAUAAACAUACAUGUGCUUGUGCCUUUAUAGCAGCAUGAUUUAUAAUCCUUUGGGUAUAUACCCAGUAAUGGGAUUGCUGGGUCAAAUGGUAUUUCUAGUUCUAGAUCCCUGAGGAAUUGCCACACUGUCUUCCACAAUGGAUGAACUAGUUUACAGUCCCACCAGCAGUGUAAAAGUGUUCCUAUUUCUCCACAUCCUCUCCAGCACCUGUUGUUUCCUGACUUUUUAAUGAUUGCCAUUCUAACUGGUGUGAGAUGGAAUCUCAUUGUGGUUUUGAUUUGCAUUUCUCUGAUGGCCAGUGAUGAUGAGCAUUUUUUCAUGUGUCUGUUGUCUGUAUAAAUGUCUUCUUUUGAGAAGACAUUGAGAUCCUUUUGAGAAGGAUCUCUUCACAUCUUUCACUCACUUUGUGAUGGGGUUGUUUGUUUUUUUCGUGUAACUUUGUUUGAGUUCAUUGUAGAUUCUGGAUAUUAGCCCUUUGUCAGAUGAGUAGAUUGCAAAAAUUUUCUCCCA